GACGAACGCUGGCGGCGUGCUUAACACAUGCAAGUCGAACGGAAAGGCCCUGCUUUUGUGGGGUGCUCGAGUGGCGAACGGGUGAGUAACACGUGAGUAACCUGCCCUUGACUUUGGGAUAACUUCAGGAAACUGGGGCUAAUACCGGAUAGGAGCUCCUGCUGCAUGGUGGGGGUUGGAAAGUUUCGGCGGUUGGGGAUGGACUCGCGGCUGAUCAGCUUGUUGGUGGGGUAGUGGAUUACCAAGGCUUUGACGGGUAGCCGGCCUGGGCGGGUGACCGGCCACAUUGGGACUGGGAUACGGCCCAGACUCCUACGGGAGGCAGCAGUGGGGAAUAGUGCACAAUGGGCGGAAGCCUGAUGCAGCAACGCCGCGUGCGGGAUGACGGCCUUCGGGUUGUAAACCGCUUUCGCCUGUGACGAAGCGUGAGUGACGGUAAUGGGUAAAGAAGCACCGGCUAACUACGUG
This 468-nucleotide ribosomal RNA is filed under the name uncultured bacterium. RNAcentral's name for it is "partial 16S ribosomal RNA". It matches the Rfam family "Bacterial small subunit ribosomal RNA", at positions 28 to 507 of the family's 1533-position model. The record is from RNAcentral.